UCAGAUGGCUGGAUGACCGCUUGCGAAUGUGGCUGCACGGGGCUCGCCUUGUGCAAAGCGCGUUGGUGAGAGGAAAGUCCGGGCUCCACGGAAACACGGUGACGGAUAACAUCCGCCGGGGGCAACCCUAGGGAAAGCGCCACAGAAAAUAUACCGCCAUUCCGGCGCGGCCUUCGGGCAACGACGGACGGUAAGGUUGAAAAGGUGCGGUAAGAGCGCACCGCGGGUCUGGCAACAGAAACGGCAUGGCAAGCCCCACCGGGAGCAAGACCAAAUAGGGACGGCACGUAAUCCGUUUCCGGAUAGCCGUCCGGGUAGGUCGCGAGAGGCAGUCGGUAACGGCUGUCCCAGAGGAAUGGUCAUCUAUCCGCCUUCGGGCGGGGGACAGAACCCGGCUUAGAGGCCGUCUGACGCU
This 415-nucleotide RNase P RNA is filed under the name Rhizomicrobium sp. RNAcentral's name for it is "RNase P RNA component class A". It matches the Rfam family "Bacterial RNase P class A". Rfam says of the family: Ribonuclease P (RNase P) is a ubiquitous endoribonuclease, found in archaea, bacteria and eukarya as well as chloroplasts and mitochondria. Its best characterised activity is the generation of mature 5'-ends of tRNAs by cleaving the 5'-leader elements of precursor-tRNAs. Lineage: Bacteria; Pseudomonadati; Pseudomonadota; Alphaproteobacteria; Micropepsales; Micropepsaceae. The record is from RNAcentral.